AUACUUACCUGUCAGGGAAGAUCCCAUGACCAUGGAGGUAGGCUUAUCAAUUGCACUCUGGAGGUGCUAACAUCUCCAGUUUACUCCCCAAAGUGGGAAACAACCACAUAGUUUGUGAUAGUGGGAGAUUUUGUUCGUGUUUUCCAU
RNAcentral lists this small nuclear RNA (147 nucleotides) under Meriones unguiculatus (Mongolian gerbil). RNAcentral describes it as "U1 spliceosomal RNA (ENSMUGG00000008522.1)". It matches the Rfam family "U1 spliceosomal RNA". From Rfam's summary of the family: U1 is a small nuclear RNA (snRNA) component of the spliceosome (involved in pre-mRNA splicing). Its 5' end forms complementary base pairs with the 5' splice junction, thus defining the 5' donor site of an intron. The record is from RNAcentral. Lineage: Eukaryota; Metazoa; Chordata; Mammalia; Rodentia; Muridae.